Molecule: non-coding RNA, 768 nt
Filed under: Pongo abelii (Sumatran orangutan)
Lineage: Eukaryota; Metazoa; Chordata; Mammalia; Primates; Hominidae
Source: RNAcentral
GGAGAAUCUGAGACUUCUGAAGAGUUUCUUGCUUCUUUCCUGUGGGGCAGUGACUCCACUUCCCAGCAGUAAUGGAAUAUCCUGAAUUAGCUACAUUAAUGUUAGAACCAUUUGGACCUCACCCAGGACUUCAACUACAUUGUGGAUGUUACAAGAAAUGAGACUCACUACUGAAUUCACAGCAGGCAUGGUUGAAGGCACCAUUCACUAUAGCUUGCAGUAUUCCCUUUAUGAGAUUUGUAUGAGAAAUUCCUCUCGUAGGUCAAGUUCUUGGGAGAAAAUUCUCCCAAAGAGCAAGUCCCAGGAAAAGCUUGGCUGCUAAAGUUACAGAAUCCAAAUUUGGCAACUGCCUGCAUCUGAACAACAGAAGUUUCAACAUUCUGCCAACAGAGUAACUCCUGGACGACUGGCACAGAAGAAGGCACAAGGCAAAUACCCAUCUCUGUACACCCUGUGCUACUGUGUCAUGUGCUGCUCCAGGCAACUCCAAUGGAUUGGCCACCCUGGCCAAUGUGUUCUAGUAUGUUAGGUUUAUGUUCCCCUGCUUUCUACAAUCCUGUUCAAAGAGUUGCUGACUUAACCACAGAGAGAAUUCCAGAACAUGAGACACAGAAUAAACUUGAACAAUCAUAGUCCAUCCACUUCAUUUUCUCAUCGAAAACCAAAGGUCCAGUGAGGCUCUGGAACUCGACGCUGUAAAGGAGCGAAGGAGCAUCUAUACAGAACCUGGAUGCCUGUCUCCUUAUCCUACUUCAGCGGACUUGACUG